UACGGAGGGUCCAAGCGUUAUCCGGAUUCACUGGGUUUAAAGGGUGCGUAGGUGGUCUGAUAAGUCAGUGGUGAAAUCCUGCAGCUUAACUGCAGAACUGCCAUUGAAACUGUCAGGCUUGAGUGUCGUUGAGGCGAGUGGAAUGUAACAUGUAGCGGUGAAAUGCAUAGAUAUGUUACAGAACACCAAUUGUGAAGACAGCUCGCUGGACGAUAACUGACACUGAGGCACGAAAGCGUGGGUAGCGAAC
This 250-nucleotide ribosomal RNA is filed under the name uncultured bacterium. RNAcentral's name for it is "partial 16S ribosomal RNA". It matches the Rfam family "Bacterial small subunit ribosomal RNA", at positions 524 to 773 of the family's 1533-position model. The record is from RNAcentral.